UCUAUUAUGAUAACACCCUUAAGAGUCUUAUUCUGAUAACAACAGGCUUAUUCUGCUAACACCAAACAAACUGCGGCGCGGAUAAAGUGAACCACAGACAGAACCUGGAGCAACCCACCCCACCUUCUUCGUCGCACCCCUACCCGCCGACGCAUCCCACGGCAUGACCUCCCUCCUCCCACCUUCUUCCCCGCACGCGAACAUGCCCCACCACCCACGCCGCGCGCCCAUUCCCCUCCUUCCCCAUGGCGCCCUGUAUCCACCCGCACGACGAGAUCCGUGCGCGGGCCUCCUGGCACCGCCACCCACCCACAUCGUCGCGCCGGCCUUGAGAACUUCCCUGGCUCCUUUCCUCCCCGGUCGGUCGAGCACCACCGAUUUCGCCAACCGGAUCCGGCGGAAUCCUUCUUCACCUCCCUCCUCCCGCACCUGCCCCGGCCUUCCAUCGCCGUGCCGCGCCGCUGCCUAGCUUUCUUCUCCGCGCCAGAGUGCCCCCGGGGCUCCUUCCUCCCACCGCCGCAGGGCCGCUCGCUCCUUUCUUCCCCGCACAGCACUUCCUCCCAGCGUCGGAGCUCCUCCCAGCCGCAACACGACCCCGCACGCCUCCGCGCCGCCCAGACGACGGAUCCAGCCCCACCGCGCCGCCCAGCCGACGGAUCCGGCAGCCGCCGGUCCACAGCGCCAUCCCGGCGACUGCCUUGACCACUCUGCCCCUGAUCUUGCUUGCUCCCCUCGGCGGUCAUCUUCCUCGUCACCGCCGCCGCACUCUGUACCUCGGCCUUGGAUCCGAUGCUGAUGGUGUCCCCGGGGAAUUAGCCUCCAACAAAAAGCACCAACUUCCCCGACGAACAGAGGCGUGUGGCUCCCGUUCGACAGCGACCUCCCCGGCGACCAAGUGCUGCAGCCCACUUUUUUAUUUUUGCAAUUCGCAUGUUAAAGUUUCUUUUUGCAGUGCGUGUGUGUUGUUCGGUGUGAGCUCGAACGAAGGCACAGAUCAGUCCACUCUGUUCUCUAAUGCAGAAAAAAGGAGGAACAACCAAUUAUAAAAAAUCGUAAGACUCGCUCUCCUGCAUGUAGUUUGUUUAGAGUUUGAUUGAUGUCCUGUAUUGCGGGUCAUGGAGUUCGAUUGGGGCUCCCAUGGUAAAGUUCAAAUAAAAUUAACCA
Long non-coding RNA from Triticum aestivum (bread wheat), 1164 nucleotides. RefSeq lists it as uncharacterized. NCBI's taxonomy places the organism in Eukaryota, Viridiplantae, Streptophyta, Magnoliopsida, Poales, Poaceae. The record is from RefSeq and is a predicted model, not a curated record. The transcript has 2 exons.